This is a small nucleolar RNA of Callithrix jacchus (white-tufted-ear marmoset), 104 nucleotides long. NCBI's taxonomy places the organism in Eukaryota, Metazoa, Chordata, Mammalia, Primates, Cebidae. The record is from Ensembl.
AUCCUUUUGUAGUUCAUAAGCAUGAUGAUUGAGUUUUCACGUUCAUGUCUGAGAUGUACCUCCUUCAAACCUUAUAAUGACAUGGAAACAUUACCCAUCUCAAG